Long non-coding RNA from Mustela erminea (ermine), 2676 nucleotides. RefSeq lists it as uncharacterized. NCBI's taxonomy places the organism in Eukaryota, Metazoa, Chordata, Mammalia, Carnivora, Mustelidae. The record is from RefSeq and is a predicted model, not a curated record. The transcript has 2 exons.
AAAAAGAUACAUGUGGUUGAAUACUAAAACCAUCAAAAUGACAAUUAAAUUAAAAAUCAAAAGCACUUUUAACUAUUCAACUUCUAUUCUCCUACAGACAAGUGGACUCAAGAGUCAACCAAGAAAAACAAUUCUAACCAGAAGAGACAAAAUUUUAAAAAUAAACAGUUAAAUUUAGCAGAGUCCAAAGAGACAAUGAAAAUAACACAGAAUUGAACGACUGAUUAUAACAUUAAGAAUCUCUAAGAGUAUUCAAGUUGACUGAGAACCAGUUGCAUUGAAGACUAAAAUCCUACAAAGGAGGCGGGUAGAUCAACCCAAGAUGCACCACGGACUCCAGUGACCACCAUCAUUUCAGGUUUCAAAGCAUCAUGUGCAAACCAAUAGCCCAGUUGGGGAAAGCCCAUGGAGCAAAUUCUGCCUCCCACCAGUUUCCACCUCUGCACCAGGGAUGGGUCCACAUGUCUCUGCAUGAAACGGAGAGGGAAAGCUAUGGCUUAGGGGGCAAGAGACCCAAGGACAUCCGGACAGUCACUCACCAACCAGGUAAACAGAUUUCCUCCAAUCUGAAAGGCAACAUAGGAAACAAGUGAGCUAAGAACCAGAAUGUCUCCUACAAAUGUGACACAGAAACUUCUGGGAAAAGGACACAACAUACCAAGAUCUGCUUGGAGUUCAUCUGAAAAAAAGUGAAAAAUACACAUAAACUCCCAUCACUAAGAGCAUCAAAGACUGCACCUGGAAAACCCGCAAGAGCAUAUAUAUGUCUCCUUGAAUAUCUAACUCCAGACCCCUCGAGCCUCCACAGCCCCACCUGUCCUCUCUGGUCCUCCUCAACACCCUGCUCCUGGCCAAGGGCCUACUGUCUGCUUCUCCUCUGCACCAGCUUCCACACUUGUCUGCCUUGGCCCUGUCCUGCCUUACCUCUGGCCUUCAGUGCCUCCUCCUUUAUCUGCUGGAUCUCCUCCUUGUCUCUGUGCAAUUUCUUCCAUUCCUGUGUCUCCUGGAGCUUUGCAGUAUGUUCUCUCAUGAUGUAAAAUGCAGCCCCAAGGAUUGGGAGCAUCAGAACAGUCAGGAUCACCAUGAAAACUGGCUUCCAGGGAGAACUCUGAGGGAAGAAAGGUUCUGUGCCCCGCCAGACACCCCAUCAGGGCACUGCUCUGACAGCCCAGCCCAGCACACACAGGGACCCCCAAUCAGACCAUCCCACCCUUGUAGGAGUGGGAAGUAAUACUGACCUGGGAUGAAAAUGGCCAUUGCCUUCUCCUGGCCCAGGAUGGGGUUGAGGACUGAGCAGGUCACAUUCCCUGAAGAGCUGUCCCUCACCACAAGAGUGGUCUCUAUGGUGAACAGCCCUUCACCGUCUUGGGCUUGGGUCUCAGAGAACAUCAGGAACUUCUCUCCACUGAGAGCUCUCCACUGCACUUGGGGCUUUGGGAACCACCCCGAGGCCAUGCACACAACUCGGACCCCGUCCUCCUCUGGCCCUGUGAUGUGCACUUGAGGGGCAGAGCCCACACCUAAAGAGAGAAGCUGGAGAGCACAAGGAGGCCACCCAGAGCUCAGGGAUUCCAGCAGAACCUUCCUGUACACAAUACCAUCCACAGCACUGAGUUUUGGGGGCUCCUUGGGGGAGUGGUCCCUACAAGGAUUAAUGUAAGGGGUCCUGCCAUGGAGAACAGAAGGAAGGAACAUGGGGACCUGUGGCAGGCACAGAGAGCAGGCUCUUCUCCCCAACCAUGAGGGUGGGAAUUCCAUCACCCAGAGGGAUAGAAGGAGAAAUUUGGUUCCAGGAUCAUUCCUUCUCUGCUCUUCUCAACUCACACACUCUCCAGGGCAUCUGCAGGCAACCCCACUGCCACUUGGUCAUCACUUCCACCAACUACAUACCUCCUCAUCUCACUCCCUAAUAUCUACAUCUCUGGUUUAGCUGUGCCAGGAUUCCUCACAGAUGCUUCAGACUCAAAUCCUGAGCUAAUUCAUGUUUGGCCCCAACUUUGAUAGGAUAAUGAUGAAAAUACCCCCAAUCUUUCAGCCUUCUUUACAUCCAGCCAGCCCUCUGCCACCUCUUGUGGCCUUCACACUCUGCUUCUGGGCUCCAUCCUGUGACUUGACUCAGUCCCUGAAAGCUCAGGGAAUGUGACUCUAGCAGAGAUUGGAAACUGCUUCCGCCAUUGCCUUGUCCUCUGCCACAGGACAGACAUCUUCAGGCUAGCACAGCCUUUCCAGCUGAAGCUGUCCUAGAUCAAUCAAUAGCCACCUGGACAACACCAGCUGAGCAAACCCAGCCAAGGUCCACUGUCAGGACAAAAUAUAUUAAAAUAAGAGGCGUAUUGUCCCUGUUGAAAAUAGGGAAAGAGAGCCCCCUCCCAGCCUUUUCUUAUAGCAUUUACUUGAGGAAACUUGUGGUUCUGGGUGAUUUCUCUCCUCUUUGAAAUGUAUAUAAGUACUUUAAAAAUAAUAAUAAUUGGGCCUUUUGCCAGCUCUGUGAUCCAAGAAUGUGUUUCUCAAGGACCUGGGAGCCCUCGCUUUGAACUGCUCACACCAAGGAAGACAGCAGCCCUCUCUCCCCCUUCUCUGCCAGGGUAGGAACCUAACCUCAGUGUACACCACGAUCCACAUGUAACAUCACCGCCUGUCAUCAUGAUGGGAGAAUUGGUUAAAAAAAAAAAAAAA